RNAcentral lists this ribosomal RNA (1359 nucleotides) under metagenome. Its description in RNAcentral is "bacterial LSU rRNA". It matches the Rfam family "Bacterial large subunit ribosomal RNA", at positions 1549 to 2925 of the family's 2925-position model. The record is from RNAcentral.
AUCAAUGGGAAGACGUGAUGCAGAGUGAAGUUUAGUAAUGAAGUCCGUGAGCUGUGCGUCAAGAAAAGCCGCUAUUGUUCAUACCAUACCCGUACCGUAAACCGACACAGGUGGAUGAGGAGAGAAUCCUAAGGCCGGCGGAAGAAGCACUGUCAAGGAACUCGGCAAAAUGACCCCGUAACUUCGGGAGAAGGGGUGCCACUGAGAAGUGGCCGCAGAGAAUAGGCUCAAGCAACUGUUUAGCAAAAACACAGGUCUAUGCGAAACCGUAAGGUGAGGUAUAUGGGCUGACGCCUGCCCGGUGCUGGAAGGUUAAGAGGAGAGGUUAGCGGAAACGCGAAGCUUUGAAUUUAAGCCCCAGUAAACGGCGGCCGUAACGAUAACGGUCCUAAGGUAGCGAAAUUCCUGUCGGGUAAGUUCCGACCCGCACGAAAGGCGUAAUGAUUUGAGCGCUGUCUCGACAAUGCAUCCGGUGAAAUUGAAGUACCAGUGAAGAUGCUGGUUACCUGCGCCAGGACGGAAAGACCCCAUGGAGCUUUACUCCAGUUUGGUACUGGGAUCCGGUACUGCAUGUACAGGAUAGGUGGGAGGCUAUGAAAUGGUAACGCCAGUUGCCAUGGAGCCGCUGUUGGGAUACCACCCUUGCAGUAUUGGGUUUCUAACCAGCCGCCGUGACCCGGCGGUGGGACAAUGCCAGACGGGGAGUUUGACUGGGGCGGUCGCCUCCGAAAGGGUAUCGGAGGCGCCCAAAGGUUCCCUCAGGAUGGACGGAAACCAUUCAAAGAGUGCAAAGGCAGAAGGGAGCUUUACUGCGACACCGACGGGUGGAGCAGGUACGAAAGUAGGGCUUAGUGAUCCGGUGGUAUUAAGUGGGAAUGCCAUCGCUCAACGGAUAAAAGCUACCCUGGGAUAACAGGCUUAUCACUCCCAAGAGUUCACAUCGACGGAGUGGUUUGGCACCUCGAUGUCGGCUCAUCGCAUCCUGGGGCUGUAGUAGGUCCCAAGGGUUGGGCUGUUCGCCCAUUAAAGCGGUACGCGAGCUGGGUUCAGAACGUCGUGAGACAGUUCGGUCCCUAUCCGGCGUGGGCGUAGGAUAUCUGAGAGGAGCUGUCCUUAGUACGAGAGGACCGGGAUGGACGGGCCGCUGGUGCACCGGUUAGACUGCCAAGUCUAUAGCCGGGUAGCCAAGCCCGGAAGGGAUAAACGCUGAAGGCAUCUAAGCGUGAAGCCCCCCUCAAGAUGAGAUAUCCCAUCCGAAAGGAGUAAACCCCCUUGAAGACGACGAGGUUGAUAGGGCAGGGGUGGAAGUGUGGUAACACAUGGAGCUGACUGCUACUAAUAGGGUGAGGGCUUGACCAA